This 682-nucleotide ribosomal RNA is filed under the name uncultured Thermomicrobia bacterium. RNAcentral's name for it is "bacterial SSU rRNA". It matches the Rfam family "Bacterial small subunit ribosomal RNA", at positions 554 to 1249 of the family's 1533-position model. The record is from RNAcentral. Lineage: Bacteria; Pseudomonadati; Thermomicrobiota; Thermomicrobia.
CUGGGCGUAAAGAGCGUUGAGGCGGUUCCGUAAGUUGGGCGUGAAAGCCCCGGGCUUAACCCGGGGAGGUCGUUCAAUACUGCGGAACUUGAGGGCAGCAGAGGGAGGUGGAAUUCCCGGAGUAGCGAUGAAAUGCGUAGAUAUCGGGAGGAACACCAGUGGCGAAGGCGGCCUCCUGGGCUGUUCCUGACGCUGAAGGCGAAAGCUAGGGGAGCAAACGGGAUUAGAAACCCCGGUAGUCCUAGCCGUAAACGAUGGAUGCUGGGUGUGGUGGGUAUAGACUCCCUCCGUGCCGAAGCUAACGCGUUAAGCAUCCCGCCUGGGGACUACGGCCGCAAGGCUAAAACUCAAACGAAUUGACGGGGACCCGCACAAGCAGCGGAGCGUGUGGUUUAAUUCGAUGUUACACGAAGAACCUUACCUGGGCUUGACAUGCAGGUAGUAGUGAAGCGAAAGCGGAACGACCCUUCGGGGAGCCUGCACAGGUGCUGCAUGGCUGUCGUCAGCUCGUGCCGUGAGGUGUCGGGUUAAGUCCCGUAACGAGCGCAACCCUUACCCUUAGUUAUACGUGUCUAAGGGGACUGCCCGGGACAACUGGGAGGAAGGUGGGGAUGACGUCAAGUCAGCAUGGCCCUUAUGUCCAGGGCUACACACACGCUAUAAUGGCCGGUACAAUGGGUCG